UACAGAGGGGGCAAGCGUUGUUCGGAAUUACUGGGCGUAAAGGGCGCGUAGGCGGCCUUCUAAGUCGAACGUGAAAUCCCCGGGCUCAACCCGGGAACUGCGUCCGAUACUGGAAGGCUUGAAUCCGGGAGAGGGAUGCGGAAUUCCAGGUGUAGCGGUGAAAUGCGUAGAUAUCUGGAGGAACACCGGUGGCGAAGGCGGCAUCCUGGACCGAGAUUGACGCUGAGGCGCGAAAGCCAGGGGAGCAAACGGG
RNAcentral lists this ribosomal RNA (253 nucleotides) under uncultured bacterium. RNAcentral's name for it is "partial 16S ribosomal RNA". It matches the Rfam family "Bacterial small subunit ribosomal RNA", at positions 524 to 776 of the family's 1533-position model. The record is from RNAcentral.